Long non-coding RNA from Hemicordylus capensis (graceful crag lizard), 1346 nucleotides. RefSeq lists it as uncharacterized. The transcript has 2 exons. Lineage: Eukaryota; Metazoa; Chordata; Lepidosauria; Squamata; Cordylidae. The record is from RefSeq and is a predicted model, not a curated record.
UUGGUCCCUGAGUUAGUAUCUUCUCUGCAAAAGGCCUGCUCUCUCCUCCCUCAUGUGUUAUCUAUUCUCUGUUUUCAGCUUCCGUAUUUAAGUGCCUUCAGCUGGCAUGUUAAAUGGAGCACUGAGGAUGGUAUAUUACACAAAUGUUUGCUUGGCUUUGUUUUAGCUGACAUGUUUUGUGGAAAAAUCUGCAAAGAGGACUGUAAAGUGAACCCUUGAAGUGGACAGCACUGACUGCAAACCUGGAUUUAUUGUUUUCAUCACAGAAGUACUACGUGCUUGAUUCAUCCAUCCUAGUACAUCAUGAGAGAGAGCCAAGAAACAAACAGCUGAUAAGACAUAGUUAUGGCUUUUCAAAAAGUGUAUGUAAACAGGCACUGUCGGGAACUAACUUUUCUAAAAUAAGAUUCAGUUGAUAUCAGUCUUGACUAAAGUAUGAAGUAAACAGAUCUGAGAAUAUAGUUUACAGGGGGUCCACCAGAGACCAGAGUAUUAGGUCAAGGAGUAGAAGUACAAGGCUGGAAGGUACUUGAAGACCAUAGACUCCAGUUUUGUACUGAGGGGAGAUUCCCCAUUAUAUUUAAUCUGAUUAUAAAAGUGUUGAAUGAAAAGGAGGAGGAUUAAGAUGCAUUGUAUCAGAGGUAUUGGCUGGCAAAGUAUGGGUUAGGUAAACAAGCAUUCAUCUUCCUGCUUCCUUGGUGUAAAUAUCCAUGGCAUCAUUACUCCCUUCCCACUUACAGGAACAAAAUGCAAUGUGGGGCACCAAGUCCUGCUUAAGCUAGUAUGACUUUAAUUCUAGUUAAAGAUUUGGGGCAGAGAAAAGGAAAGCCCAGGGUGUUAGGACUCCCUAAUAGUACUGGUUAAUUUAUGAAAGCACAUUAAUUUAGUUGUGGCAUGUUUUUUUUUAAACACACACACGCCAUUCUGAACCCUGCCGUGUUGAGGAAUCCAUAACUUUGAACCUCUGAUUUCCCUUCUGAACAUGGAGUUCCUAAUUGAAGUUUUGAAGAAGAAGAAAAUCUAAUCAGUGAAACUGCCUAAGGAGAAAGAAGCUUUAUAGGCCAAGGUUACAGAACAGCUUGGGAAUCUGCCCAAUGGAACUGCAAAGACUGAUGCAGUGCUAGAGCUCCUGCUGACCUAAGAAAACCAGUGCUUCAUCAUCUUAGUCAUAAGGCCACAAAGUUGCCAAGAUUUUUAGGGGAGUUGUAGAAAAUUGCUCAAAAUUGGAGUCAAGAAUCAGCUAGAGAAGUGUUUUGAGUGAAAUUUAUCUCUUAGAAUGCUGGAUCUUUGACCUAUUCAUAUGGAUGGAUUGUCAGGAAAAAUAUUAAAAGUGUCAUUAUGUAGUA